This 301-nucleotide ribosomal RNA is filed under the name uncultured bacterium. Its description in RNAcentral is "partial 16S ribosomal RNA". It matches the Rfam family "Bacterial small subunit ribosomal RNA", at positions 509 to 808 of the family's 1533-position model. The record is from RNAcentral.
CAGCAGCCGCGGUAAGACGAACCGUGCGAACGUUAUUCGGAAUUACUGGGCUUAAAGCGCGUGUAGGCGGGUCGGCACGUCGGUCGCUGAAAUCCCCCGGCUCAACCGGGGAAGUGGCGCCGGUACGGCCGGCCUGGAGGGGGGUAGGGGGGCCUGGAACUUCCGGUGGAGCGGUGAAAUGCGUUGAGAUCGGAAGGAACGCCCGUGGCGAAAGCGAGGCCCUGGACCCUUUCUGACGCUGAGACGCGAAAGCGUGGGGAGCAAACAGGAUUAGAGACCCCGGUAGUCCCUGUCUCUUAUA